AUUGAACGCUGGCGGCAGGCCUAACACAUGCAAGUCGAGCGGAAACGAGUUAUCUGAACUUUCGGGGAACGAUAACGGCGUCGAGCGGCGGACGGGUGAGUAAUGCCUAGGAAAUUGCCCUGAUGUGGGGGAUAACCAUUGGAAACGAUGGCUAAUACCGCAUGAUGCCUACGGGCCAAAGAGGGGGACCUUCGGGCCUCUCGCGUCAGGAUAUGCCUAGGUGGGAUUAGCUAGUUGGUGAGGUAAGGGCUCACCAAGGCAACGAUCCCUAGCUGGUCUGAGAGGAUGAUCAGCCACACUGGAACUGAGACACGGUCCAGACUCCUACGGGAGGCAGCAGUGGGGAAUAUUGCACGAUGGGCGCAAGCCUGAUGCAGCCAUGCCGCGUGUAUGAAGAAGGCCUUCGGGUUGUAAAGUACUUUCAGUCGUGAGGAAGGCGUUGUCGUUAAUAGCGGCAUCGUUUGACGUUAGCGACAGAAGAAGCACCGGCUAACUCCGUGCCAGCAGCCGCGGUAAUACGGAGGGUGCGAGCGUUAAUCGGAAUUACUGGGCGUAAAGCGCAUGCAGGUGGUUUGUUAAGUCAGAUGUGAAAGCCCGGGGCUCAACCUCGGAAUAGCAUUUGAAACUGGCAGACUAGAGUACUGUAGAGGGGGGUAGAAUUUCAGGUGUAGCGGUGAAAUGCGUAGAGAUCUGAAGGAAUACCGGUGGCGAAGGCGGCCCCCUGGACAGAUACUGACACUCAGAUGCGAAAGCGUGGGGAGCAAACAGG
RNAcentral lists this ribosomal RNA (769 nucleotides) under uncultured Pseudoalteromonadaceae bacterium. RNAcentral describes it as "bacterial SSU rRNA". It matches the Rfam family "Bacterial small subunit ribosomal RNA", at positions 28 to 776 of the family's 1533-position model. The record is from RNAcentral. Lineage: Bacteria; Pseudomonadati; Pseudomonadota; Gammaproteobacteria; Alteromonadales; Pseudoalteromonadaceae.